UAGUAUAAACUAAUACGCUAGUCUUGUAAACUAAAAACGGAACUCACAACCCCUAGGGCA
This 60-nucleotide transfer RNA is filed under the name Cercopithecus diana (Diana monkey). Its description in RNAcentral is "partial tRNA-Thr". Lineage: Eukaryota; Metazoa; Chordata; Mammalia; Primates; Cercopithecidae. The record is from RNAcentral.